GAUGAACGCUGGCGGCGUGCCUAAUACAUGCAAGUCGAGCGAACAGAUAAGGAGCUUGCUCCUUUGACGUUAGCGGCGGACGGGUGAGUAACACGUGGGUAACCUACCUAUAAGACUGGAAUAACUCCGGGAAACCGGGGCUAAUGCCGGAUAACAUUUAGAACCGCAUGGUUCUAAAGUGAAAGAUGGUUUUGCUAUCACUUAUAGAUGGACCCGCGCCGUAUUAGCUAGUUGGUAAGGUAACGGCUUACCAAGGCAACGAUACGUAGCCGACCUGAGAGGGUGAUCGGCCACACUGGAACUGAGACGCGGUCCAGACUCCUACGGGAGGCAGCAGUAUGGAAUCUUCCUCAAUGGUCAAAAGCCGUACGUACCAACGCCACGUGAGUGAUGAAGGUCUUCGGAUCGUAAAACUCUGUUAUUAGGGAAGAACAAAUGUGUAAGUAACUGUACACGUCUUAACGGUACCUAAUCAGAAAGCCACGGCUAACUACGUG
RNAcentral lists this ribosomal RNA (497 nucleotides) under uncultured bacterium. Its description in RNAcentral is "partial 16S ribosomal RNA". It matches the Rfam family "Bacterial small subunit ribosomal RNA", at positions 28 to 507 of the family's 1533-position model. The record is from RNAcentral.